Long non-coding RNA from Cornus florida, 873 nucleotides. RefSeq lists it as uncharacterized. The transcript is spliced from 4 exons. The record is from RefSeq and is a predicted model, not a curated record. Lineage: Eukaryota; Viridiplantae; Streptophyta; Magnoliopsida; Cornales; Cornaceae.
CUUGCAAAAGUAAGACCUACAAUAUUUAUAUAUAUCACGGUUAAAAAUUAUCCAACUUACUGCUGACCCAUGUUAAAUAUAGUUAAUUCAAAUUUAUUAAAACAUAUAUGAGCGAGUUAUAAUUCCUAACCUAUUUUAUUAUUUUACCACCCUAGAUAUAGUACAUCUUUCCGUAUUCAGUUCUUGGUUGGAGCCGCAAAUUAAAAUAAUAAGCAAAGCUUCCUCGACCACUUCUUCCAUCAUAUGCUGCUUGUUCGUGAUUUGGAUUAUCAUGGUUUCAUCUCAUGUACUCUCUUGCGCGGAAAUUAGCCACCACUCCCAGCAACCGUUACCAAUCCUUUCCAGCAUGACGCAGUAGUUUGGGACGCUGUACUGACUACAACCGGUGCCGUACAAACAGUAAUCGACAGAAAUCGCGGAGGAAGUAAUACGGCAUCAACUAAAAACCCUCCUCCACACCACGGCCAAAAGCGCAAAUGACGGAGGAAGUAAAAUGGCAUCAAAUAAAAAUCAUCCACACCACGGUCAAUCUGCUAUGCCAUCAGGACGAGUACCAAAAGGUUCAAAAGUCUCAAAUCAAACAAAUUGACCCAUUGAGGCAGUCGUAUGGGACCACGUAUGCCCGGUGCCGUAUAAAUUAACGGUCAUCCAUAGAAGUAUAAGUUGGUAAAACCGAAACAAGCAAAGCAGCGGGUUCACAUAUUUGUGGGGGGAAUUUUAGUCAUUUGUAACCUCACAUUCCUUUUAUUUGGAUGAUAUAUAUAUAUAUGAUCAGCAGUGCUACUCAAAUAAAAGUGCAUUCUAAGUCCUAGUUUAUUAUUUUAAAUGUACGGUAUGAUUUUGUUUUUUAUAUAUACAAGAUAAUUUUUGUUA